CCUACGGGAGGCAGCAGUGGGGAAUAUUGCACAAUGGGGGGAACCCUGAUGCAGCGACGCCGCGUGAGUGAAGAAGUAUUUCGGUAUGUAAAGCUCUAUCAGCAGGGAAGAAAAUGACGGUACCUGACUAAGAAGCCCCGGCUAACUACGUGCCAGCAGCCGCGGUAAUACGUAGGGGGCAAGCGUUAUCCGGAUUUACUGGGUGUAAAGGGAGCGCAGACGGCUGUGCAAGUCUGGAGUGAAAGGCGGGGGCCCAACCCCCGGACUGCUCUGGAAACUGUAAAGCUGGAGUGCAGGAGAGGUAAGCGGAAUUCCUAGUGUAGCGGUGAAAGGCGUAGAUAUUAGGAGGAACACCAGUGGCGAAGGCGGCUUACUGGACUGCAACUGACGUUGAGGCUCGAAAGCGUGGGGAGCAAACAGGAUUAGAUACCCCGGUAGUC
This 440-nucleotide ribosomal RNA is filed under the name uncultured bacterium. Its description in RNAcentral is "partial 16S ribosomal RNA". It matches the Rfam family "Bacterial small subunit ribosomal RNA", at positions 338 to 795 of the family's 1533-position model. The record is from RNAcentral.